This 383-nucleotide ribosomal RNA is filed under the name uncultured bacterium. Its description in RNAcentral is "bacterial SSU rRNA". It matches the Rfam family "Bacterial small subunit ribosomal RNA", at positions 28 to 403 of the family's 1533-position model. The record is from RNAcentral.
GACGAACGCUGGCGGCGCGCUUAACACAUGCAAGUCGAGCGAGAACCAGCCCUUCGGGGCGUGGGAAAGCGGCGAACGGGUGAGUAACACGUGGGUAAUCUGCCCUCGGCACCGGAAUAGCCCGGGGAAACCCGGGAUUAAUGCCGGAUGGCCUCUCGAGCCCUCGAGCUCGUGAGAAAAGGUAGCUUCGGCCUCCGGCCGAGGAUGAGCCCGCGGUCGAUUAGCUUGUUGGUGAGGUAAUGGCNCACCAAGGCGACGAUCGAUAGCUGGUCUGAGAGGACGAUCAGCCACACUGGGACUGAGACACGGCCCAGACUCCUACGGGAGGCAGCAGUGGGGAAUCUUGCGCAAUGGGCGAAAGCCUGACGCAGCGACGCCGUGUG